Molecule: long non-coding RNA, 542 nt
Organism: Carassius gibelio (silver crucian carp)
Lineage: Eukaryota; Metazoa; Chordata; Actinopteri; Cypriniformes; Cyprinidae
Exons: 4
Source: RefSeq, a predicted model, not a curated record
UCUUUCUUUAGGUAGUAAAGAAUACAGAGCCAGCAGUUCAUGUGAAAGGCCAGGACCCCCUUACUGCCUCAAAGCUGGCGGCUGCACCCUUAAAAGAGCAGAAACAACUCCUGGGUGAGCGGCUGUAUCCACUUAUCCAGGCCCUGCAUCCGACUCUUGCUGGAAAGAUCACAGGCAUGCUGCUGGAGAUCGACAACUCUGAACUACUGCACAUGCUCGAGUCUCCAGAAUCCCUGCACUCCAAAGUUGAAGAGGCUGUAGCUGUUCUUCAGGCUCAUCAAGCCAAGGGCCUGUCUGCAAAGUAAAGGGGCUCUGUAAGACUGAAAUGCAUGCACCCUGAAUGUCUAUAUAUUGUUCUUGAGAAUGGGGGAAAAGAAAACGGCACUACAGAGUCAUAUUAUUAAUGCAUGAUUUGCACACUACAAAUGUCCUCUUGAUGUCCACAGGGGUUUUGAUUUUGUUUAUUAAAAAAUAAAUUGUAAAAUGACAAAAGGAUAAAAAAAAAAACAUUUAUUUUUAAUUUUUGUGUGCAUUAAACGUUA